UGCAAAUGGAUGCCACGACAAAUCUGCUCCUGUGGAUAUUGUGACAAAUCACCGUCAAGUACGUUUCAAAUCGAUUAUAAACUGUUAAAUAUAUAUACCGUUAAUUUCGUUAACUUGAAUUCCACGUUUAUUCAACAAAUACGAACUGUAAUUGUUUAUUUCUAUGAAUUGACCUGAGAAUUCUACUUUCGUUUUUGACUUGAUUAUAUUAUUGCAUUGAACAUUCAUAUAUUUCUUUCGUACAUAUUGUAAAAUAUUGUAUUUUUAUUUCUUUCAGUUUACCAAACAAUACACACUCUGUAAAACUCCUGUAUCAUUUCUGGUGGAAUUAUAAUCUACAAUCUUCACACACAAGUUGUUAUUCUUUAUAAUUUGCCGAGAUUGCGAUACAGUCCCAUGGUUAUACUAGCUGAGUCAGGCUCAGCAUAGUAAAUUGACGACAACCUGUCUUUACAUAUCCAGACAAGGAACGACAACGUAGCAACGUACAUACCUUUACACUGACAGUGGACUACAUAUCUUGUGUAUACUCGACAGCAACCUAACAACGUUGAGUCAACAUGGAUCCCAGUCAUGAGGAACAACAAGAAGAGAUUCAGCCCCAAGAAGGAGAUGUCCCUGAAAUAUUAGAAAAUCCGUCUAAUACAUCACAGUCAGAUGAAAAUCCCGAGGCUAGGCGAGUACGUGACCUCACGGAAAAAGGACAAGGAGCUUUCACUGAAAAACGUGACAAGUUCUGUCAGGAACUAGAGGCUCUCUGGACAGACAUUGAAUCCCAGUUAUUGGAAGUAACAACGCCUCCUAACGAGCUCCAGCAACUCCUUAACAGUCCAGGACAAACUUGUUAAAGCCUGUAAUAAUUAUCGUAGGCUCACAGAUGAAUACCUAGACUUUCUGAAAAGGACCAGAACAUUGGAGAGUCAAAAAGAAAUUGAUGCAUGUAAACUCUCUUUUGGAUUUUCGUCUGUCCAAAGUGGAACUGGUCAUGGAAAAACUACACGAGCAUCGCCUCGCUCUAACAAAGGCCAAAUCCACUAAAACAAAGACCUCAAAGGGUAAGAAAACCUCACACAGUGGUAGCUCUAACGUGUCAGACAUGUCAAGCCUAGCACGGAGAAAGCGUGCCAAGGCAGAGGCUGCCAAAGUCUAAAAUAGCCUUUGUAGAAAAACAUGCCAUUAUCCUACAACAGGAAGCAAUGUUAGAGGAACAAGCCCUGUUCAGACAAAUUGAAAUGGAACAGGAAGCAGCACACAAAAAGGCUGAAAUGGAACAGGAAGCACACUAAAAGGCAGAAAUGGAAGCAAGAAGUCGCAACAAAGCAAGAACAGGAGGCCGCAAGAGAACAGCUGAGAGAACAGAGGCUGCUCACAGAAAAGUGCAAUUAGAACAAGAGGCUAUGCGCAGGAAGGCUCAAAUGCAACAAGAAGCCGCACGAGUAAGCCGGAAAAGCCGAGCUUAAAGCCAAAUUUAACCUUCUUGAAGCACACAGAGAGAAGCUGCAGCCGCAGAAGCCGAGGCUCGUAUCCUGGAAUACGACGAUAGCCAAGCGUUUAGCGAUCUCCCUGACGAAAAGGAAGACCCGCUCCAGCGUGUGCAAGAUUUCGUCAAUAAACUUCCUGUAUCAACUGUUGUAAAGGAAGUAACAGGACCUCAAAAGAAAAAACAAAUUCCUGUUAAGAUGAAGCUGAGUCACGAAGCACCAGCGUUCGUGCCAUCCGUGGCACUGAACUUGCUGUCACAGACAUCUGCUGUCUUGCCUUCCGAUACUAAGUCACCGGAAGUUACCUUUAUCCCAGAUCUGGGAUUAGUAACCGGCAUACAAAAACUAGGGGUUUUUUUCAGAAAGAUCCCUGUCUUACACCAAAAACAAGGCGUUUAUAGAAGAGAUCCCUGUUGCACACCAGCAACAAAUCAACCCAACAUCGGAGAUUAACUAGAUUUCCUCUUGCGUAAGGACCUGCUUUUCUCCCGAUUAACAAGCUUUAACGAUCGGGCAGAAUCCUUCCAUACUUGGAAAGCAAGCUUCAAAAAACGUGACUGAUGAGUUACAAGUCUCUGACUCAGAACAGAUCGAUUUACUGAUCAAGUGGCUCGGUCCAGAGUCUGCUAAACACGCCAUUAGCAUAAGAGCGUCGAACGCCAAUAAUCCUACAAUAGGUAUACAAAGAUUAUGGAAGAGGCUUGACGAGCGGUAUGGUGCUCCAGAAAUGUUGGAAGCCUCUCUCAGAGUAAACUUGACAAAAUUCCCAACCUUGACGAAUAAGGACAACGCACGUCUCUACGAACUGUCUGACAUUCUAUCAGAAAUAGAAUAUCACAAGGAAAAUCCCAAGCUGGGAUGUUUGCUAGCAUAUUUUGACUCACUCGUCCGGGAUAAAACCCUGUCAUUGAAAAAAAUACCGUACGGACUUCCAAGAAAAGUGGACCACAAGGGCGUACUAAGAUACAAAUCUAAAUAUGGCGUUGCCUUUCCUCCUUUUACAGAAUUCUCUGCCUUCAUCAGGGAAAUCAGCAGAAUUAAAGAACGAUCCUGGAUUCAUCUUUGGGUCAAAAGUCCACACCAAAUACAAAAGGUGCUGCGCCAAGGUUCACGUCUUACCCUAAGACUAAAGUUGGUGCUCAUAAAACAGCAGUUGAGCAGCAAUCUGGAGACGCCAGCAAACAAGGUCUUUGUAUUCUGCACAAUACAAAGCAUUCCUUAAAUGAAUGUCGAGCGUUCCGAGCCAAGUCAAUAGAGGAGCGCAAAGGUCUUUUGAAAGAAAACAAUGUAUGUUACAAGUGUUGUGAUUCUACCACACACAGAAGCCGGGAAUGCAAUGCACGCAUAAGUUGUAAAGAAUGUGGAAGUAAACAACACACUACCGCACUUCACAUCACUAGACCACAGCAACCUGCAAGUUCUCAGUCUAGCUCGCCUAAGCAAGCCUACGGCGGGGAGCCUAUAGAAUCGGCUGAAACUAAGGCAACCUCAGUUAACUCUACCUGUACUGAGAUCUGCAAAGAUACAUAUAGCGGGAAAUCUUGUGCUAAAAUACUUCCUGUGAAUGUUUAUCACAAAGAUAACCAGUACAAAGUUAUUCGCAUGUACGCCAUCAUUGAUGACCAAAGCAACCGGUCACUAGCAUCGCCCGAAUUCUUUAAUCUUUUCGACGUCAAAGAUAAACCGGAGAACUAUACUUUAUCAACAUGCUCCGGCAAAGUAGUCACUUCCGGCAAAAGAGGAAGAGGUUUCGUCAUGGAAUCAAUCAAUGGUAAUGACAAGUUUGACCUUCCUGUACUGAUUGAAUGUGAUCAUAUUCCCAAUAAUAGGGACGAAAUACCUACUCCUGAAGUAACAAUGCAUCACCCUCAUUUAAAAGAACUUAGAGGUAGCAUUCCACCAAUAGAGGAAAAUUGCCAAAUUCUUCUCUUAAUUGGCAGAGACCUUAUAGAGGCACACCAUGUCCUCGAUCCAGCGCAUAGGACCACCCAGAACUCCAUAUGCACAACAAUUGAAACUUGGUUGGGUAGUGAUAGGAGAAACCUGCAUUAACAAGCAGCAUGUUCCUCUUGAGUUAAAUGUCAAAAUAACCAACAUUUUACCUACAGGACAACCUUCAACCUUUCAACCAUGCACAAGCAAGUUUGACAUCCGGGAAAACUACACAGACCCUGUAACGAAAGACCUUACAAUCGCCACUCUUUGAAAAAACAAGGGACGAUGAUAAGCCUGGACAGUCAUAUGAGGACAAAAUGUUCAUGAAGCAGAUGGACAACGAAUUUGUAAGAGACUCGGAAGGAAGUUGGGUAGCACCGUUGCCGUUCCGAGUGCCAAGACAGCCAUUGCCAAGCAACAGACAACAAGCUCUUCAUCGUGCUAAUAUGUUAGACAUCCAGUUUGAAUAGAAACCCAGUUAAGCGGGAACACUUUCUUACAUUUAUGAGUAAGAUCCUAGACAAUAAUCAUGCAGAGCUCGCUCCACCAUUGCACGAACAUGAGGAGUGCUGGUAUUUGCCAUUGUUUGGUGUUUAUCAUCCGAAGAAACCCGAUCAGAUAAGAGGUGUGUUUGAUUCUUCCGCCAAAUGUAACGGAGUUUCACUUAACAGCGUCCUGCUUACAGGUCCAGACUUGACCAAUGAUCUCUUGGGAGUACUGCUGCGUUUCAGGAAAGAAAUGGUCGCAGUAACUGCAGACGUUCAACACAUGUUUCACUGCUUUGUUGUCAGAAAAGACCACCGUAAAUUACCUGAGAUUUUUAUGGCAUAAAGACAAUGACCUACAGGAGAACCUUGUCGAAUACCGCAUGAGAGUUCAUGUUUUCGGAAAUAGUCCGUCACCUGCUGUUGCUACGCUUGGACUCAGAAAAGCAGCUCAAGCAUCAGAACAAGAGUUUGGCAGUCACGUGACUAGCUUUGUUACAAGAGACUUCUAUGUCGACGACGGUCUUACGUCAUGUCCUACUAAAGAGGAAGCUGUUAAGCUCAUGAAGGACACACAGCAAGCAUUAGCAAAAUAUGGAAACUUACGCCUUCACAAGUUUGCCUCUAAUUGUGCGGAAGUUAUGUCUGCAUUUCAUGCCAGUGAUUUGGCUUCAAAUCUUAAAGAUCUAGACUUAGAAUGCGACAGCAAACCCCUACAACGUAGUCUUGGUCUCAGCUGGGACGUAAACACUGAUAACUUUUUAUUUCAAUUAUCAUCAGAAAACAAACCGAUCACUCGGAGAGGAAUUUUAUCAACGAUAAACAGUCUCUACGAUCCUCUGGGAUUUUUGGCUCCGGUGAUUAUACAAGGGAAACUCCUAUUGAGGAAAAUAGUAUCAGAAACCGUCGAUUGGGACCAACCUCUCACUGAUGAGACAGCAGAUGAGUGGAAAUCUUGGAGAGAUACUCUAAUUGCUAUCGAAACAUUGCGCAUUCCACGUACCUACGUGCCGUAUCUCAGCAAAACCGCCACAAAGGAGUUACAUGUCUUCUCUGAUGCAUCAGAAAAAGCCAUAGCAGCUGUUGCAUAUCUACGCACGACCGACAGUAGUGGUGAACCAAACAUAGGAUUCAUUCUUGGGAAAGCUAAAGUUGCACCAACAAGUGGUCAUACUAUUCCACGCCUUGAACUAUCUGCUGCAGUAUUAGCAGUCGAGAUAACACAGACCAUCAUGGAUAAUUUAGAUUUACAUAUAGACACCGUAAAAUUCUACACAGACAGUAAAGUAGUCCUAGGCUACAUCAAGUAACGAGACAAGAAGGUUCUUCAUCUAUGUCGCCAAUCGAGUAGAGAAAAUAAGAAAAUUUAGCUCUCCAAGUCAAUGGAAUUAUGUACCAACUAACCGUAAUCCCGCAGACUCGGGAACAAGGUCCGUACCAAGCCCAUGAAAUUCACAGCAGCGAAUGGUUAUUAGGACCAAAACAACUUCUUUCCUCAGAACAGAAGAAUUCUGAGGAUACAUAUACCAGCUAAUAGAUCCAGAAGAAGAUGGAGAAAUCCGUGCAACUGUUAAUGUUGCAAAAACAUUUUCCACACCUGAGCAUAAAGGUAUCGGAACUGAUAGAUUCAAUCGAUUCUCCAACUGGACAUCACUUGUGCGAGCGAUAGCCUUUUUGGAACGUUUCUCUCCGUUUACACGGGUCAAAACAGGCAUCAUCAGUGACUUCUCUGGAUAGUUUUUCGAAUGCCGAAAAUUUCAUCUUAAUAUCUGCACAACAUGAAGUUUAUGGAGAUGAAAUAGAUUGUAUAAAACGUCAGGAACAAAUUCAAUAAGCGGAGCCCGAUAGCUAACCUCAAUCCGUUUUUGGACGAACGAGGACUAUUACGAGUAGGAGGCCGUAUUGUAAAAUUGGACUUAAACCUCCGUGAAAAGAAACCAUUGAUCGUCCCUGGACGCCAUCAUAUAGCGACAUUAUUAGUUCGACACUACCACAACAAGAUAAAACAUCAAGGUCGCCAUUUCACAGAUGGAGCGAUUCGAUCCGCAGGAUUUUGGAUCGUAGGAGCAAAACGCUUAAUCUCAUCUAUUAUUCACAAAUGUGUGACAUGCCGCAAACUCAGAGGAAAAACUGAGUAUCAAAUCAUGUCUGAUUUGCCAGAGGACCGUCUUGAACCUUCACCUCCGUUUACUAACGUUGGAAUAGACACCUUUGGACCCUGGACAAUUGUUUCACGUAAAACACGUGGUGGAUACGCCAACUCAAAACGUUGGGCAAUUUUAUUCACAUGCUUAGUGACAAGAGCUAUUCACAUCGAAUUAAUCGAGGAAAUGAGUUCUUCAGCCUUCAUAAACGCCGUCAGGAGAUUCGCCGCUAUAAGAGGCCAAGUUAAAGAUUUUCCGAUCUGACCGUGGAACAAACUUUAUUGGAGCAAUCGACGAUUUAAAGAUUGACUCAAUCAACGUUGAAGAUGGACCCUUCAAGAACUUUCUGUACAAUUCUGGUACAACUUGGAUCUUCAAUGCGCCGCAUUCGUCCCACAUGGGUGGAGCCUGGGAGAGAAUGAUUGGUAUCACCAGGAGAAUUCUUGAUUCUAUGCUUCUAAAUGCAGCCGGAAGAAGCCUUACGCAUGACGUGCUUAACACACUAAUGGCAGAAGUUUCAGCAAUAGUGAACUCUAGACCUCUGGUACCGGUAUCAACAGAUCCAGAGAAUCCGUUAAUAUUAACUCCGGCUAUGUUAUUGACACAGAAAACCAACUACGUUUUCACUUCAGACCAUCUUGGGAAUUCGACAAACGAGAUCUCUGUCUUGCCGAAUGGAGACGAGUACAGGCUCUGGCCAGUGUUUUCUGGUCCCGUUGGAGGAAGGAAUGUACCUGCCGUUACUACAACAACGACGAAAAUGGACCGAAGAUCGCCGUGAUCUCAUCGAAGGAGACGUCAUUCUUCUAAAGGACAAAAACAUUUGCCGUACCCAAUGGCCCGUUGGAAUUAUAGUGAACUCAUUUAAAAGUUCAGACGAACAUGUCCGAAAAGCAGAAGUGCGAGUAAUCGUUAAUGGAAAAGCCACAACCUACACACGCCCUAUCGUGGACAUGAUUCUUCUCAUAGAGAACACUCCUGUGUAAAUAUAUGUAUAUAUCUCUGGAUUUAUAUAGUGACAUUCAUAUGUGUUAUAUCUUAUGGAAUAAUAGUGAUAUCAGGUAGAUUUCAGACGGGGAGUAUUCUGGAUCACAUCCGCAAUUAUAUUCACUGUAUAGUCUAUUUGAUUGGAUUUUUAGACAUCCGUAUUUUCCGGAAAUAAUCUGAACUUCUCCGUAUUUUCACUAGUGCUUACUUUCUCUUCCUCACCGGUCUAUUGCAAAUGGAUGCCACGACAAAACUGCUCCUGCGGAUAUUGUGACAAAUCACCGUCAAGUACGUUUCAAAUCAAUUAUAAACUGUUAAAUAUAUAUACCGUUAAUUCCGUUAACUUGAAUUCCACGUUUAUUCAACAAACACGAACUGUAAUUGUUUAUUUCUAUGAAUUGAACUGAGAAUUCUACUUUCGUUUUUGACUUGAUAUUAUUACGUUGCUUUGAACAUUCAUAUAUUUCUUUCGAGCAUAUGAUAAAAUAUUGUAUUUUUAUUUCUUUCAGUUUACCAAACAAUACACGCUCUGUAAAACUCCUGUAUCAUUUCUGGUGGAAUUAUAAUCUACAAUCUUCACCCACAAGUUGUUAUUCUUUAUAAUUUGCCGAGAUUGCGAUACAGUCCCUUGGUUAUACUAGCUGAGUCAGGCUCAGCAUA
RNAcentral lists this long non-coding RNA (7692 nucleotides) under Mytilus galloprovincialis (Mediterranean mussel). The record is from RNAcentral. Lineage: Eukaryota; Metazoa; Mollusca; Bivalvia; Mytilida; Mytilidae.